Long non-coding RNA from Chelonia mydas (Green sea turtle), 171 nucleotides. RefSeq lists it as uncharacterized. NCBI's taxonomy places the organism in Eukaryota, Metazoa, Chordata, Testudines, Cheloniidae. The record is from RefSeq and is a predicted model, not a curated record. The transcript is spliced from 3 exons.
UGGCCAGGAUGUGGUUAUCUGAGUGAACGGCAGAUUUGAGCCACGAAAGUGGCCAAACUGAGGGCUACUGUGAAUCUCUGAGGCAAUCAAAAUCAGCCAAUAAGCGCAGAACCCACCAAGGUAGAGGAGGAACUUUAUCACAGUUGUUUCAAAGUUACGUCGCUGCUCAGU